This 613-nucleotide long non-coding RNA is filed under the name Coturnix japonica (Japanese quail). RNAcentral's name for it is "lncRNA (ENSCJPG00005000154.1)". Lineage: Eukaryota; Metazoa; Chordata; Aves; Galliformes; Phasianidae. The record is from RNAcentral.
CCGCUAGAUGGCAGCCGGCGCCAGCGAUUCCCGCUCGGCUCCGCGCCACCGCCGGGGCCGCCGGGGCCGCGCCGGGCCGGGCCGAGCCGAGCCGCGCCGGGCGCCGCGGGGCGCGGAGCGUGGCUGCCCCCGGCCCCCGCCCCGCCGCCGCCGCCCCCCGCCGUUCAGGGAGUCGCGACCGCCGCCGAGGGCUCUGACCAGUCAGUCGCCUUUGAUUAUCAGUUGCCAGCAGCCCUUCUCUUGGCUCCUUGACAUGAGCUCCAUAUAAGGCAGCGAUCUCCAUAGAAACGUGUCAGUUUCAAUAGUAGUGUCAAAGUUCACUAUAUACAGACAUUCGCGCAGAUCCCCCUUUCGGAAACAUUGCUCUGCUCGGCUUCCCGUUUAAACGCAUUCAUUUUUUGGGUCUCUCUCUCUCUCCCUCUCUCUCUCUCUCCCCCUCUCUCUCUCCUUCCUUGCAUAUUCUAUUAGUUGUUUUUUUUUUUUUUUCCUUCCCCCCUUCAUCUCCCUCUUCUCCUUCCUUUUCUUCUUUUUCCACCCUUUUCCUNNNNNNNNNNNNNNNNNNNNNNNNNGAGAUCUUGACGUCAGUGCUUUGAUUAUCAGUUGCUCAGCAGCC